GAUCGGAUUUUUUCAAAAAAAAUCACAACUGAGCAUUAAGACCUGCAGUGUGAACGUAGCCAAAAGCUCUGACUGAAAACAACAGAUUCCAUCAAAGACUGUUAAAAACUCCAGAAUGUAGCUCACCUGUCAGCUGGUUACCUUUCAUAUCUACCUGUUUACCAACAGACUUACUGUCUCAGGUAGAUUCUGCAGACAGGUGAACACAGGUGCAGACAGACAGGUGAACACAGGUAAAAACAGGUUACUGUUUGUCCUCCAGCUCAGUGGUAGAAACAGAUUUAUUCCCUUGUUUUUAAAGAUAGAGAUCAUCAUGUUUGUUUACAUAAACAACAACAAGAGACAAACAAACGACAUCAGGUCCACCAGGACCAAAACAGUACCUCUAAGGUUCUGCUUCAUGAGCUUCAGUUCAARAACUGCACAACUUCACUGUACAAGUCCCCGGUCCACAUCAAGUUCAGUCGGGUCAGGACACGUCCCACAGGUCCCAGCGGUCAGGACAUGUCCCAGCUCACAAAGAAGAACAGAAA
Austrofundulus limnaeus is the source of this 533-nucleotide long non-coding RNA. RefSeq lists it as uncharacterized. The transcript has 2 exons. NCBI's taxonomy places the organism in Eukaryota, Metazoa, Chordata, Actinopteri, Cyprinodontiformes, Rivulidae. The record is from RefSeq and is a predicted model, not a curated record.